GGAUGGUCCGAAGGUAGUGAUAUAUCUCACUUGAUUGUUCACAGUCAGUUACAGAUUAAACUCCCUGUUCUAUUACUUUCCCCCCUUCUCACUAUUGCACUUGACUAGUCAUUA
Molecule: Y RNA, 114 nt
Filed under: Microcebus murinus (gray mouse lemur)
Lineage: Eukaryota; Metazoa; Chordata; Mammalia; Primates; Cheirogaleidae
Description: Y RNA (ENSMICG00000043876.1)
Rfam family: Y RNA
About the family: Y RNAs are components of the Ro ribonucleoprotein particle (Ro RNP), in association with Ro60 and La proteins. The Y RNAs and Ro60 and La proteins are well conserved, but the function of the Ro RNP is not known.
Source: Rfam by way of RNAcentral